GCGCUCCGGAGGCUUCAGGUUCCUUUUGCUGAAGCCAGGAGAGUCUUGCUCUCCUGGCUUCAGCAAAAGGAACCCGAAGCCUGAGGAGCGC
Molecule: microRNA precursor, 91 nt
Filed under: Podarcis lilfordi (Lilford's wall lizard)
Lineage: Eukaryota; Metazoa; Chordata; Lepidosauria; Squamata; Lacertidae
Source: RNAcentral